UACAGAAGCCGGGAGAGAUCCUGGUGUGCCUUCGGGAACUGUAAGACAGGUGCUGCAUGGCUGUCGUCAGCUCGUGUUGUGAAAUGUUGGGUUAAGUCCCGUAACGAGCGCAACCCUUGUCCCUAUUUGCCAGCACGUAAUGGUGGGAACUCUAGGGAGACUGCCGGUGACAAACCGGAGGAAGGUGGGGACGACGUCAAGUCAUCAUGGCCCUUACGGGUAGGGCUACACACGUGCUACAAUGGCCGGUACAAAGGGUUGCCAACUCGCGAGAGUGCGCCAAUCCCGAAAAGCCGGUCUCAGUCCGGAUCGGAGUCUGCAACUCGACUCCGUGAAGUCGGAAUCGCUAGUAAUCGUGAAUCAGAAUGUCACGGUGAAUACGUUCCCGGGCCUUGUACAC
RNAcentral lists this ribosomal RNA (400 nucleotides) under Halomonas sp. Its description in RNAcentral is "bacterial SSU rRNA". It matches the Rfam family "Bacterial small subunit ribosomal RNA", at positions 989 to 1388 of the family's 1533-position model. The record is from RNAcentral. Lineage: Bacteria; Pseudomonadati; Pseudomonadota; Gammaproteobacteria; Oceanospirillales; Halomonadaceae.